Molecule: long non-coding RNA, 568 nt
Filed under: Gallus gallus (chicken)
Lineage: Eukaryota; Metazoa; Chordata; Aves; Galliformes; Phasianidae
Description: long non-coding RNA NONGGAT004235
Source: RNAcentral
AGUCAGUCAAGUGAAACCUCAAGGUCUGGCUCAUAGAUGAGCAGAAGCCUGAAAUAAUCAUCUGGGUAAUUUUGCUUUCCAGGACAUGUUCAUGCAGCUAGCAAUUAAGUCAGCCAUUCUUCAGUCAAAGCAUGAUGUCCUGAAGGUACUACAGCCUCUUCUAAGUUGUGUCCAAGUUGCUAGCAGCACAGCCAGCAGUGUUUAAGUGAUUCUCCCUCUUUUUCUUAUGAAGACCAGAAAAAAGUGCUCUGUGAUGGGAACCUUGAAAGACAAUCUUAAAGUUGUCUGGUAGGUUGAAACGGCCUAUGGUGUGUGAUGAACUAACUGAGCGAAACAGCAAUGACGUAGAAGCUUCACCUAUGCUGUAAGUCGUGUGAUUUACUGGAAGGGAACCAAAUGAUACACUCCAAGUGUUGAUGUGCAGUGUACAGUCAUGGCCCGUUCUGCCCGACUGGACGUUUUCCUUAUUACUGGCUUGUAAAUUGAAUUUUCAUCGUGAAGCCAAAUUAAAAAUGAAGGAGAAAAUGUUCUGUUUCCUUUGGAUUAUUUUUUCUUACGCACGUUUGUG